Molecule: ribosomal RNA, 407 nt
Filed under: Hyllus semicupreus
Lineage: Eukaryota; Metazoa; Arthropoda; Arachnida; Araneae; Salticidae
Description: partial large subunit ribosomal RNA
Rfam family: Bacterial large subunit ribosomal RNA (bases 267-407)
Source: RNAcentral
UAUAAUAGCCGCAUUUUGUGCUAAGGUAGCAUAAUCACUUGUCUUUUAAUUGAGGACUAGAACAAAAGAUUUAACAUUUUAAUUUAUUUUACUUUUUUAAAAAAUUCAAAUUUUACUAAAAGUAAAAAUACUUUUAUUAAAUAGAAAGACGAUAAGACCCUAUUGAACUUAACUUUAGUUAAACUGGGGAAGUUAUUUAAUUAUUAUUUUAUAUAUUAAUAUACAUUUAAUUAUCCAAUAAAAUUGAAUAAUUCAGUUACCAUAGGGAUAACAGCAUAAUUUUAUUAAUAAGCACUCAUUUAUAAUAAAGAUUGUGACCUCGAUGUUGAAUUAAUAACCUAAUUAGGGCAAGACUUAAAUAAAGGAAGUCUGUUCGACUUUUAAAAAAUUACGUGAUCUGAGUUCAA